UUCACAGUCACUCUGUCCUGUCUCUCUGUGCUCUCCCACUGCCCAACUACACGUCCCCAGGUGUGGAUUGAUGUCACUUCUAUUCACAAUACUUGCAAAAGUGCAAAAGAGAUGGGAACAACUAACAACAGUCCAAGGUCUAAAAGAAAGAGAGAGCUGGUCUUACUCUUGACGUCCCAGAGAAUGUCCUGCUCGGGCGGAGCGGCGUACAGGAUGAAGAGGCGCACCGUGUCG
Molecule: long non-coding RNA, 234 nt
Organism: Alosa alosa (allis shad)
Lineage: Eukaryota; Metazoa; Chordata; Actinopteri; Clupeiformes; Clupeidae
Exons: 3
Source: RefSeq, a predicted model, not a curated record